CGAGACGUCCUGGUCCAACAUCCGUCUCCUGUAAAGAUCCUGCUUUUUUAUUAAAACUUAUUUUUUCUGUCAUCGGAUCAUCAAACACAAUAAGGUACGCAGGAUGGGCGCUAUCUGAGGUAUGCCACGUCGGAUCGCUAGAAAAGAGAUCGCCGGGAGGAAAAAAAAGAUGGCCUCCAUUGGGUAGCCGCUAGCGCAAGUCAUACAAAACGCUGGCCGCUUUCGUCAUGUGUUU
RNAcentral lists this long non-coding RNA (235 nucleotides) under Hordeum vulgare. RNAcentral's name for it is "long non-coding RNA (HVUL_LNC011714)". The record is from RNAcentral. Lineage: Eukaryota; Viridiplantae; Streptophyta; Magnoliopsida; Poales; Poaceae.